Molecule: ribosomal RNA, 500 nt
Filed under: uncultured bacterium
Lineage: Bacteria
Description: partial 16S ribosomal RNA
Rfam family: Bacterial small subunit ribosomal RNA
Source: RNAcentral
AUUGAACGCUGGCGGAAUGCUUUACACAUGCAAGUCGAACGGCAGCACGGACUUCGGUCUGGUGGCGAGUGGCGAACGGGUGAGUAAUGUAUCGGAACGUGCCCAGUCGUGGGGGAUAACGUAGUGAAAAUUACGCUAAUACCGCAUACGAUCUAUGGAUGAAAGCGGGGGAUCGCAAGACCUCGCGCGAUUGGAGCGGCCGAUAUCAGAUUAGGUAGUUGGUGGGGUAAAGGCCCACCAAGCCAACGAUCUGUAGCUGGUCUGAGAGGACAACCAGCCACACUGGAACUGAGACACGGUCCAGACUCCUACGGGAGGCAGCAGUGGGGAAUUUUGGACAAUGGGCGAAAGCCUGAUCCAGCCAUUCCGCGUGCAGGAUGAAGGCCCUCGGGUUGUAAACUGCUUUUGUACAGAACGAAAAGGUUUCUACUAAUACUAGGAGCUCAUGACGGUACUGUAAGAAUAAGCACCGGCUAACUACGUGCCAGCAGCCGCUGUAA